CCUACGGGAGGCAGCAGUGAGGAAUAUUGGUCAAUGGUCGGGAGACUGAACCAGCCAAGCCGCGUGAGGGAUGAAGGUACAGAGUAUCGUAAACCUCUUUUGUCAGGGAACAAAGGCGGGGACGUGUCCCCGGAUGAGUGUACCUGAAGAAAAAGCAUCGGCUAACUCCGGGCCAGCAGCCGCGGUAAUACGGAGGCUGCGAGCGUUAUCCGGAUUUAUUGGGUUUAAAGGGUGCGAAGGCGGUCUGUUAAGUCAGCGGUAAAAGCCCGGGGCUCAACCCCGGCCCGCCGUUGAAACUGGCAGUCUCGAGUUGGAGAGAAGUAUGCGGAAUGCGCGGUGUAGCGGUGAAAUGCAUAGAUAUCGCGCAGAACUCCGAUUGCGAAGGCAGCAUGCCGGCUCCACACUGACGCUGAGGCACGAAAGCGUGGGUAUCGAACAGGAUUAGAUACCCCAGUAGUC
Molecule: ribosomal RNA, 459 nt
Filed under: uncultured bacterium
Lineage: Bacteria
Description: partial 16S ribosomal RNA
Rfam family: Bacterial small subunit ribosomal RNA
Source: RNAcentral